Molecule: ribosomal RNA, 425 nt
Filed under: uncultured bacterium
Lineage: Bacteria
Description: partial 16S ribosomal RNA
Rfam family: Bacterial small subunit ribosomal RNA
Source: RNAcentral
GUUAGGAAUAUUGGACAAUGGGCGCAAGCCUGAUCCAGCCAUGCCGCGUGAGUGAUGAAGGCCUUCGGGUUGUAAAGCUCUUUAGCCGAUGAUUAUAAUGACUGUAGUCGGAAAAUAAGCCCCGGCUAACUUCGUGCCAGCAGCCGCGGUAAUACGAAGGGGGCGAGCGUUAUCCGGAAUCACUGGGCGUAAAGCGUGCGUAGGCGGCUUUGCAAGUUGGGAGUAAAAGCCCAGGGCUCAACCCUGGAAUUGCUCUCAAAACUGCAAGGCUGGAAUUCGGGAGAGGAUAGCGGAAUUGUCAGUGUAGCAGUGAAAUGCGUAGAUAUUGACAGGAACACCAGUGGCGUAAGCGGCUAUCUGGACCGAUAUUGACGCUGAGGCACGAAAGCGUGGGGAUCAAACAGGAUUAGAAACCCGGGUAGUCC